UACAGAGGUCCCAAGCGUUGUUCGGAUUCACUGGGCGUAAAGGGUGCGUAGGCGGUCGGGUAAGUCUGACGUGAAAUCUUCAAGCUCAACUUGGAAACUGCGUCGGAUACUAUUCGGCUAGAGGAAUGGAGGGGAGACUGGAAUACUUGGUGUAGCAGUGAAAUGCGUAGAUAUCAAGUGGAACACCAGUGGCGAAGGCGAGUCUCUGGACAUUUCCUGACACUGAGGCACGAAAGCUAGGGGAGCAAACAGG
RNAcentral lists this ribosomal RNA (253 nucleotides) under uncultured bacterium. RNAcentral's name for it is "partial 16S ribosomal RNA". It matches the Rfam family "Bacterial small subunit ribosomal RNA", at positions 524 to 776 of the family's 1533-position model. The record is from RNAcentral.